CUGAGUUUACAACUCCCAAACCCAAUGUGAACAUACCUAUCGUUGCUUCGGCGGGACCGCCCCGGCGCGCCCUUAGGGGCUUGCCCGGAACCAGGCGCCCGCCGGAGACCCCAAACUCUUGAUUUUCCCGCACAGCGGCAGUAAUUCUCUGAGUGGCAAACGCAAAAUAAAUUA
Molecule: unclassified non-coding RNA, 174 nt
Filed under: uncultured Stachybotrys
Lineage: Eukaryota; Fungi; Ascomycota
Description: sequence contains ITS1
Source: RNAcentral